AGGUUCAUAUUUUUAUUCUACUGGAUUGUCAAUAUAUAUUGUUAGGUGUCACUGAUGGAUUAUGAGACUCAUCGAGCAUCAUCUUGAUGAUCGAUGGCCCUCAAAGGGUUGAAUUAAAAAUAUUCUAAUCCAUCGAAAAGAGUUUUGAUGAUAUUAUAAUAGAGAUCACAAUAUAUCUCACUACCAGAUAGAAUGAAACCUAUGAGGUCACACAUUAAGAGAUUUAAUCUCGAAUUUAUCAAUUGGGCUUAUAAAGUUUCAAAUGGGUUAAGGUUUAUUUGAAACUCUAUUAGAUUUAUGAGAAUCAUGCUAGCACAUGGUUAAACCUAAUUCUUCUCGAGAUUUUGAUUUGAUCAAGUCCAUAGCCUUGAACCUAACCUAAAUUUAUUUGGAUUUAAUUGAGCUCUUAAUUAUAAGUCCAAAAAAAUUUAAUUAAGUUAAUUAGUUGGCAAAAUUAUCUUAAUAUUAUCUCUUCCAUAUCUCCUAAUUAUCUUUAAAUAUGUAUGUGGAAUAAAUAAAAAAAUAGGUGGCAUAAUUUUUUUUUUUGAAAAUUAUUGAGCAUCAUAUCCUAGAGGGGCCCACCCCCUCUUAUAUGUCAUGGCGUGACGGAGAGAGAGUGGAGUCCAUGCCCCAUCUCUUAUGACUGGAGAUCCCUUUGUGGGGUGCCAAGAGUUGGCAUCCCAACCACUUGACAUGUAUUCUAUGGAUGGCUAUUAUAUAUACUUAAAAGGGCUGAUUAAUUACCUUUUAUAUCUGAUUUUAUUUGGCAUAAAUCAUAUUUAAAAGGUAGAGAAUUCUUAUGAGAUAUAUUAUAUUUAAAAGGUAGAGAAUUCUUAUGAGAUAAGGAUCUACUUUUUUAAUAUGACAGGGUUCCUAAUAUGUGUCAGGACUUAUGUCUAUUUAAAGGGAGGUCUCUAGGAUUUCUUAUUAUGGAUUUUUCAUCAAGAAAAUCUUCUCUCUCUCCAUCUCCACACCUCCUCUCUCUCAUAUUCUUCCUUUUCACGCCCAAAGGUUGAGUGUUCUCUCUUCCACACACCUAGAAAAAGUUUUAGUGACUUAGAGAUCAAGGAUCGAGGAGAACAAGAAAAAGGCUACAGGUCAAGGAGUUAAUCUGUCAGUUAAGAUCAAAAGAGUUGAUUAGAGUCCUCAAGGCCAAGGUUUUUCUUGAGAAGAAGAAUCUUCUUCGAGAAAAAAAGUUCGAGAUUGAUCUCGAUGGAUAUCUAUAGAGGUCAGACAUGUGUGCGGCUCCAUCUUCUACGAAUCCGAGAUCAUCUGAAGUGGAGAAACCCGCGCAACGGUAAUGAGAUAUGAUCUCAUAUUUUUUUUAAAUUUUAGAUUAAUUAUAUGUGCUUUCUUUUGGGCUUGGGUAGGUUUAGAUCUGGUAUCUUGCAUGUGGAGUUAAAGGGUUUAACCUAUUUUAUUUUUUGUUGCAUAUUUUCAAAAUUUUAAAAUCUACACAUACUGCCUAUCCUAUUUUCUAUCAGUGGUAUUAAAGUCAAUUUUUUUGAAAAACACUUAUGAUCUAGUUUUUAUGUUAGUUCUAAAUAUUUUAAUGAUUUAAAAUUAAUUUUAUGCUGAUAUAAGGUUAUCCUGGUAUAGGGAUUACCCCCUAUACUGCAAAGAUUGUCCUAGCACGAGAUUGAUUGUCUUUGAAAAUUAUUUUCAAAAUAAUUAAAUCAAAUCUUUUAG
Molecule: long non-coding RNA, 1689 nt
Filed under: Elaeis guineensis (African oil palm)
Lineage: Eukaryota; Viridiplantae; Streptophyta; Magnoliopsida; Arecales; Arecaceae
Description: long non-coding RNA (EGUI_LNC065499)
Source: RNAcentral